CGCAGCGCCCCAGUCGCCGCUCCUGCCCCCUUAGUCCCGUCCGGCCUCCGCGUGUGGCUCCUGCAUCCUCCCCUCAACCCCGGGAGACCGCCGCGGCCCACAGCCUCCCGCCCGGCCGCCGCCAACAGUUCCAUGGCUUGCUGACACAUUCUUUCCUUACACAUGUCAAAAUCAUCAAACGACUUAUAGACAAGACUUGCCAGUGGAAGGCGUUAUGUUUCGUGAAGGCCUUUGGAGUGGGUUGAACAGUGCCCUCCACCCCCACAAAAGAUAUGUCCACCUAGAACCUGCGAAUGCGAUAUUAUUUGGAAAAAGAGUCUUUGCAGCUGUAGUUAGGGAUCUGGAGAUGAAAUCCAGUCAGAUUUUCCAACUGGGCCCUAAAUCUAAUGAUGAGCAUCCUUAUAGGAAGAGGACAUGGCACACAAGAAGAAGGUAGUGAUGUGAAGACCCAGACAGAGAUGGGAACGAUGCAUUUACUAGCCAAAGAACACAAGGAUUGCCAGCAGCCACCAGGAGCUAGAAAAAAGGCAUGGAAUGGAUUGACCCUCAGUGCUUUCAGAAGGAACCAAUCCUGUUGACACCUUGAUUUAGGACUUCUGGCCUCCAGACUGUGAGAGAAUAAUUUUCUGUUGUAAGCCACCCAGCUUGUGGUCAUGUGUUGCAGCAGCCCUAAGAAAUGAAUAAAGUCAACCCUGUCUCUACUAAAAGUACAAAAAUUAGCCAGACAUGGUGGCGCACAUCUGUAAUCCCAGCUACUCUGGAGACUGAGGAACAAGAAUCGCUUGAACCCGGGAGGCGGAGGUUGCCGUGAACCGA
Pongo pygmaeus (Bornean orangutan) is the source of this 816-nucleotide long non-coding RNA. RefSeq lists it as uncharacterized. Lineage: Eukaryota; Metazoa; Chordata; Mammalia; Primates; Hominidae. The transcript is spliced from 3 exons. The record is from RefSeq and is a predicted model, not a curated record.